RNAcentral lists this unclassified non-coding RNA (369 nucleotides) under Hevea brasiliensis (rubber tree). The record is from RNAcentral. Lineage: Eukaryota; Viridiplantae; Streptophyta; Magnoliopsida; Malpighiales; Euphorbiaceae.
AAACAAUCAGAAUGACGGUAGAAAAUUGCAGAAGUUUAACAAGGAAUUAAAAUGUUAAUUGCCCAAAAAUUAUUGAGCUUUUGCCAAUACUCGAUUGUGGUUGUGGCCUGUACUUCUGAAAUGACUAAUUUCAUCCCAUGCUUUAGUUAUUGGGUGCAGUUGUGGUCAGUCCACCUAUUCUAAAACCACUUAAUUUCAUUACAUGCAAAAUUAACUUACAAAAAGGUUGAUAAAUUUUGUGGCCUCUAUUAAUGGACCUAUCUUUCUGUUGAUAUAUCCCUCCGUGACGACAAUAUUGGAAGCUGAUUUUCGAAAGAAUUAGAUGGUUUUCAUGGUGCAGACACAACAACUAAAGUAAAUAUGUAUGGG